RNAcentral lists this ribosomal RNA (492 nucleotides) under uncultured bacterium. RNAcentral describes it as "partial 16S ribosomal RNA". It matches the Rfam family "Bacterial small subunit ribosomal RNA", at positions 29 to 507 of the family's 1533-position model. The record is from RNAcentral.
AGUGAACGCUGGCGGUAGGCCUAACACAUGCAAGUCGAACGGCAGCACAGUAAGAGCUUGCUCUUACGGGUGGCGAGUGGCGGACGGGUGAGGAAUACAUCGGAAUCUACUUUUUCGUGGGGGAUAACGUAGGGAAACUUACGCUAAUACCGCAUACGACCUACGGGUGAAAGCAGGGGAUCUUCGGACCUUGCGCGAUUGAAUGCGCCGAUGUCGGAUUAGCUAGUUGGCGGGGUAAAGGCCCACCAAGGCGACGAUCCGUAGCUGGUCUGAGAGGAUGAUCAGCCACACUGGAACUGAGACACGGUCCAGACUCCUACGGGAGGCAGCAGUGGGGAAUAUUGGACAAUGGGCGCAAGCCUGAUCCAGCCAUACCGAGUGGGUGAAGAAGGCCUUCGGGUUGUAAAGCCCUUUUGUUGGGAAAGAAAAGCAGCAGGUUAAUACCCCGCUGUUCUGACGGUACCCAAAGAAUAAGCACCGGCUAACUUCGUG